Trichoplusia ni (cabbage looper) is the source of this 2694-nucleotide RNA transcript. It is a transcript of the gene named gastrula zinc finger protein XlCGF57.1-like, with no coding region annotated. Lineage: Eukaryota; Metazoa; Arthropoda; Insecta; Lepidoptera; Noctuidae. The record is from RefSeq and is a predicted model, not a curated record. The transcript has 9 exons.
AUAGUUUGUUUCAUUUAAACGCCAUAAUUUACCAUUUCAUUAUUUAUAUAGCCUGAAGGUAGCCUGCAACGACAGGAUCUAUUCUCAACCACAUAAAUCAAUAGCACAUUGUGGCAAUCAUAACGCAUCACUAUGAUGUCAUAAAUUUGUUCCUACCAUGGUAAACAUAAACAGUAUCACUCUAUAUUCACUCUCCUCUCACCCUAAUCUCACAUAAAAUUCUCGUAAGAAAAACUCGAAUUCGGAAAAGUCAUCGAGUGUGACGCGAGAUCGUAAACAAUAGUAGCAUCCCCUCAGCUAUUGUUAUUUGUUCCGGUCUUAUUGAGACGUUUACAAUAAGAUUUCUUUCGUAAACUAAAUGAAAAUGUGUUUUAAAUAUAUUUAAAAAUGUCUGUUACUUGGAAUACAAGUGGUUUGUGCCGCUGUUGUCACGCUGAGGGGAAUUUUAAACCCAUAAAUACAUACGCAUCUGACUCAGUCGACCAAGAUUGUUUUGUUUCUUUGAAAGACACUUUUGAUAUAAUACUUAACCCUUUACCAAAUGCUUCAGGCUACAGUAUAUGUGGUUUGUGUGAGCCAAGAUUGAGAGAUGCAGCCGUCUUCAAAAGACAAGUCCAACAAUGUGAGGACAAACUGAAGAAAUACCUGUAUGACUGCGGGUAUAAAGAUAUUUUAGAGGGAGAUGUGAAGUAUGAAUUAGAUCAGAAUGGAAUGAAAGAAGAAUCAAAUCAAAUAGAUGAACAAUUGGAAUUGAAAUAUGAAGAUGGCCGUCUCCAAGACCUGCCAAUCUUCAUCCCACCUCUAGAAGAUGAUGACCAGCCACUAUCCGUACUCAGAAGCACUAGAUCUGAACAGCAUCCUGAGGAUACAGAACCAGACGCUGACUGGGCAGCAGCUCCUGACUUGACUGAUGACGAAGACGCAAAACCGAAACACCAGCGCUCAAAAAAGUACGCCUGCGAUAUAUGCCAAAAGAAAUUCUCAUACAAUGGUUCUCUAGAAGUUCACAUGAAAGCUCACAGCGGUGAGAAAAGUUUCACUUGUCACUUAUGUAGCACAACACAUACAAACAACAAGGAACUUACCAAACACAUAGCAAUAGACCAUGUCGUCAACGAUAACUACCCUUGCACACUAUGCGAGAAAGUUUUCGAAAAACCAAGGCUAUUAAAAAAACACAUUCAAACUCAUUUCGACGAAAAAUUCAAAUGUAGCGAGUGCAGCAAAGAGUUUCAAAGGAAAAAAGGUUUGAAAGAACACAUGAAGAUUCAUACUGGGGAGAGGAAAUACUCUUGUACAGUUUGCAGCAAAGCUUUCGGUCAUAAUCAGACUUUAAAGUCUCAUAUGUACACACACACUGGGGAGAAACCAUACGUCUGCGAUGUUUGUGGUAGGAGAUUCCAACAGCGCACGCAUUUGAAACGACACAUCUUCAUAAUACAUACUGGAAUCAAACCCCACGCAUGCAACGUAUGCAACAAGCAGUUUUCAAGCAAAAGCUAUUUGGUCAUCCAUGAAAGACAGCAUACUGGCGAAAAACCUUAUUCAUGCGAAGUCUGUAAAAAAGAUUUUACUGCUUAUACGACUUUGAAAGUCCAUAUGCGAGUGCAUACCGGGUUCAAACCUUACACAUGCAGUUUUUGUAGCCGGCAAUUCGCUCAAAUGGCGAGUUUUAAAUUGCAUCAAAGAACGCAUACGGGUGAAAAGCCUUUCUCAUGUAAAAUAUGCAAAAAACCUUUUUCAGACAAUGGGUAUUUAAAAAUUCAUAUGCGCGUCCAUUCUGGAGAAAAACCAUUCUCAUGCGACGUAUGUAAACGCUGUUUUAGAGAAACUGGACAAUUAAAACGUCAUAUGCGAGUCCACACCGGGGUAAAGCCUUACACAUGCAAAAUAUGUAACAAGCAAAUAGGCAAUUUGUCGAAGCAUAUGCGGAUUCAUUCUGAGGAGAGGCCUUAUAGCUGUCACGUAUGCAACAAGCAGUUUUCUGUUAAUGGGAACUUGAAGUUGCAUAUGCGAAUUCACACGGGCGAAAGGCCCUUUGCAUGUGAAAUAUGUAGCAGUCAGUUUACGCAAUCGAGUGGUUUAAAAAGGCAUAGGUGUACGCAUAGCAAGGGCGAUGUUUUAAGUGCCUAAGAAGAGGAAAAAAAAUCUUUAAUACGGUAUUCCAACAAAUAUACCCGAGACGUUCAUCGAAACCGGCAACCGCUGAACAAAAGAGACGAGAAAAACGAUUUAUAAAAAACAUAUUGGUCUUCUUUGACUUCUUAAGAAGGGUUAAAGGAAGGAAUGAUACGUUUCUAGAAGACAUAUUUCUCGAUAAUGGCACGUUUCUAGACGAAGAGAUCGUGUUAGAAUGGUUUACAGAAAAGAAGUACUUGCCUAAUGAUACCCGUCGCGAUAUCACGGAUGCACAAGCUAUGAUUGAUGCGUUAACCAAAGGCAAAGAGGAUAAACGCGAAGAGACUUUCUACGAACCUUACUGGGAAAGUGGAGAGUGGGUCUUUAUGCGGACUGGGACGCCGACGACGACUAUGGAACAAAAGUAUUGGACAGACAGUUGGGGAUACUGUAAGUCCUCUUAUCUUAUGGCUGACUAGCCUAAAAAGCUAAAGUAUUUGUAGAGGCUCUACUUAGGUAAGUUGUAAGUAUGAUACAAAGCUUACAACUUUAAAUAAUGACAUAUUGUGGCCGAUA